AGAACGAACGCUGGCGGCGUGCUUAACACAUGCAAGUCGAACGCGAAAGGGACUUCGGUCCUGAGUAAAGUGGCGCACGGGUGAGUAACGCGUAGAUAACCUGUCUCCAUGUCUGGAAUAAUACGCCGAAAGGGGUACUAAUACCGGAUAUUCUUGCUUUUCAUAAGUUAUGCAAGCAAAGGUGGCCUCUGCAUAUGCUACUGCAUGAAGAGGGGUCUGCGUACCAUUAGCUAGUAGGUGGGGUAAUGGCCUACCUAGGCGACGAUGGUUAGCGGGUCUGAGAGGAUGAUCCGCCACACUGGCACUGGAACACGGGCCAGACUCCUACGGGAGGCAGCAGUGAGGAAUAUUGCGCAAUGGGGGAAACCCUGACGCAGCGACGCCGCGUGAGUGAGGAAGGCCUUCGGGUCGUAAAGCUCUGUCAAGGAGGAAAGAAGUGUACAAUGGCUAAUACCUGUUGUAUUUGACGGUACCUCUAAAGGAAGCACCGGCUAACUCCGUGCCAGCCGCCGC
Molecule: ribosomal RNA, 513 nt
Filed under: uncultured bacterium
Lineage: Bacteria
Description: bacterial SSU rRNA
Rfam family: Bacterial small subunit ribosomal RNA
Source: RNAcentral